AGAGUAACUGAACAAAUACUGGUCUUAGCAGAUUGAGGAGAGCACCAUAGUGGUUGUCCUCACAGUCAGCUGAGGUUGGAGCUGAAGAAUCGACACU
Molecule: microRNA precursor, 97 nt
Filed under: Tupaia belangeri (northern tree shrew)
Lineage: Eukaryota; Metazoa; Chordata; Mammalia; Scandentia; Tupaiidae
Description: miRNA (ENSTBEG00000018051.1)
Source: RNAcentral